GACGAACGCUGGCGGCGUGCCUAAUACAUGCAAGUUGAGCGCUGAAGGUUGGUACUUGUACCAACUGGAUGAGCAGCGAACGGGUGAGUAACGCGUGGGGAAUCUGCCUUUGAGCGGGGGACAACAUUUGGAAACGAAUGCUAAUACCGCAUAAAAACUUUAAACACAAGUUUUAAGUUUGAAAGAUGCAAUUGCAUCACUCAAAGAUGAUCCCGCGUUGUAUUAGCUAGUUGGUGAGGUAAAGGCUCACCAAGGCGAUGAUACGUAGCCGACCUGAGAGGGUGAUCGGCCACAUUGGGACUGAGACACGGCCCAAACUCCUACGGGAGGCAGCAGUAGGGAAUCUUCGGCAAUGGACGAAAGUCUGACCGAGCAACGCCGCGUGAGUGAAGAAGGGUUUCGGAUCGUAAAACUCUGUUGGUAGAGAAGAACGUUGGUGAGAGUGGAAAGCUCAUCAAGUGACGGUAACUACACAGAAAGGGACGGCUAACUACGUG
This 497-nucleotide ribosomal RNA is filed under the name uncultured bacterium. RNAcentral describes it as "partial 16S ribosomal RNA". It matches the Rfam family "Bacterial small subunit ribosomal RNA", at positions 28 to 507 of the family's 1533-position model. The record is from RNAcentral.